GACGAACGCUGGCGGCGCGCCUAACACAUGCAAGUCGAACGAGCGAGAGAGAGCUUGCUUUCUCGAGCGAGUGGCGAACGGGUGAGUAACGCGUGAGGAACCUGCCUCAAAGAGGGGGACAACAGUUGGAAACGACUGCUAAUACCGCAUAAGCCCACGGGUCGGCAUCGACCAGAGGGAAAAGGAGCAAUCCGCUUUGAGAUGGCCUCGCGUCCGAUUAGCUGGUUGGUGAGGUAACGGCCCACCAAGGCGACGAUCGGUAGCCGGACUGAGAGGUUGAACGGCCACAUUGGGACUGAGACACGGCCCAGACUCCUACGGGAGGCAGCAGUGGGGAAUAUUGCACAAUGGGGGAAACCCUGAUGCAGCGACGCCGCGUGGAGGAAGAAGGUCUUCGGAUUGUAAACUCCUGUUGUUGGGGAAGAUAAUGACGGUACCCAACAAGGAAGUGACGGCUAACUACGUGCCAGCAGCCGCGGUAAAACGUAGGUCACAAGCGUUGUCCGGAAUUACUGGGUGUAAAGGGAGCGCAGGCGGGAAGACAAGUUGGAAGUGAAAUCUAUGGGCUCAACCCAUAAACUGCUUUCAAAACUGUUUUUCUUGAGUAGUGCAGAGGUAGGCGGAAUUCCCGGUGUAGCGGUGGAAUGCGUAGAUAUCGGGAGGAACACCAGUGGCGAAGGCGGCCUACUGGGCACCAACUGACGCUGAGGCUCGAAAGUGUGGGUAGCAAACAGGGUUAGAUACCCUGGUAGUCCACACCGUAAACGAU
This 769-nucleotide ribosomal RNA is filed under the name uncultured bacterium. RNAcentral describes it as "bacterial SSU rRNA". It matches the Rfam family "Bacterial small subunit ribosomal RNA", at positions 28 to 810 of the family's 1533-position model. The record is from RNAcentral.